This 58-nucleotide transfer RNA is filed under the name Salmo salar (Atlantic salmon). It matches the Rfam family "tRNA", at positions 8 to 63 of the family's 71-position model. Rfam says of the family: Transfer RNA (tRNA) molecules are approximately 80 nucleotides in length. Their secondary structure includes four short double-helical elements and three loops (D, anti-codon, and T loops). Further hydrogen bonds mediate the characteristic L-shaped molecular structure. tRNAs have two regions of fundamental functional importance: the anti-codon, which is responsible for specific mRNA codon recognition, and the 3' end, to which the tRNAs corresponding amino acid is attached (by aminoacyl-tRNA synthetases). tRNAs cope with the degeneracy of the genetic code in two manners: having more than one tRNA (with a specific anti-codon) for a particular amino acid; and 'wobble' base-pairing, i.e. permitting non-standard base-pairing at the 3rd anti-codon position. Lineage: Eukaryota; Metazoa; Chordata; Actinopteri; Salmoniformes; Salmonidae. The record is from Rfam by way of RNAcentral.
UAGCUCAGUUGGUAGAGCAUGGUGUGUGCAACGCCAGCGUUGUGGGUUCGAUUCCCAU